This 85-nucleotide non-coding RNA is filed under the name Natranaerobius thermophilus. Its description in RNAcentral is "c-di-GMP sequence". It matches the Rfam family "c-di-GMP-I-GGC riboswitch aptamer". The record is from RNAcentral. RNAcentral also lists the same sequence under 1 other name. Lineage: Bacteria; Bacillati; Bacillota; Clostridia; Natranaerobiales; Natranaerobiaceae.
CUUGAUAAAGGCAAACCUAUCGCGAGGUGGGGGCGCAAAGCCACGAGUCUUUACGAUUAUUAUAAAGACAGUCGGGCUGCCAAGG